RNAcentral lists this transfer RNA (81 nucleotides) under Felis catus (domestic cat). It matches the Rfam family "tRNA". Rfam says of the family: Transfer RNA (tRNA) molecules are approximately 80 nucleotides in length. Their secondary structure includes four short double-helical elements and three loops (D, anti-codon, and T loops). The record is from Rfam by way of RNAcentral. Lineage: Eukaryota; Metazoa; Chordata; Mammalia; Carnivora; Felidae.
GCCUGGGUAGCUCAGUCAGUUGAGCAUCUGACUUCCGCUCAGGUCACGAUCUCACAGUGAGUUCGAUUCCCAUGUCGGGCU